GGUCUUCGUUGCCACCUUCGUUGUUGUGAUUUUCACUGACCUGUCGGAUGGAGAAGAGGGAGCAGAGGAACCCGGGGAGACACAGGGCGGCCAUGGCGAGGGGAGCACGGCAACCGUCCGGGUAAUCCGGACUACCCAGUACCAACGGAAACGAUGGAGACCUUACCGGUUGGGCAGCUUAUCGGCUCUGAGUCGAGGGCUGAUGAAGACCGUGAGUCCUCUGCCGGAGAAGAGAGAAGAAGGCACCUCCCGCCAGGUGAGAGAAGCCGAUGCCAAUGGACCCCCUUUUCCUGGUGCGUUCUGGGACUCCGGUGUCCCACCCCAUAGUGGGCAAAGAGCCUCUGGAAUCUUCCCUGCUCUGGAGUUAAGAAGAGAGAAUCGAGCGGGGGACCCCGCAACGUAAUUGUGGGAGUGGGUGCAUUUGCCUGCUGGGUUUGGGGGUCUCUGUCCACCCAAGGCGGAUUUUUGGGCUUUUCAACCCACAGCAUGAUGGGAGAUUUCCUCCAUGGUGGAAAUAUUUCAUCA
Molecule: non-coding RNA, 525 nt
Organism: Pantherophis guttatus
Lineage: Eukaryota; Metazoa; Chordata; Lepidosauria; Squamata; Colubridae
Source: RefSeq, a predicted model, not a curated record